GGCGGACGGGCGGCGGCGGCGACGGCGACGACGGCAGAGCAGGCACCGGCCGAGGAGCAGAGGGAUCGUCGCGCUCGCGGCUGACGGGCGGCCGGGACCAGCAGAAGUGGGCGGGGUGGCCGCCUCUCCGGGCAGCCCGGGCCGGCCGGGCCCACCCUCCCCCCUCCCUAGCUGAUUGGCUCAGGCGGCCCGUUCUCCGCCCGUGAUUGUGCCGGGUCCCCAAUCCCAUUCGCCCAUGCCGCGGCCACGCCGCCCUGGGGGGCUAUGGAUCAUAUUGGAGCCACCGCCUCUAGUCUCUCGGCGGCCGUCAGGACGCGAUUGGUCCGCGGAGAGCAGAGAGGCGGAAAACCCGGGCUGGAUUUCUGGUGGCUUUUGUUCCCGCAAAUUUACGUGGAGCAUUGUUUUUGGGCGAAAACGGGGCCUUCGGCCUUCCUGCUUUAUUCCUGAGCGGUGUAAGAGGGAGGUAGUGGGUAUCUUCGAGAAACGGCCGCCGCGGGGUCCGGAGCCCCGGGUUCCAAUCCCGGGUCGGCCACUGCUAAGCUGUGUGACCUUGGGAUAUGAUCCAAGGUGCUGAAAACUUCCUAACAAAACUCUUCAGCCGAAUCUGGCACGCCUAUGGUUCCAGCUACUGGGUAGACUGAGGCAGGAGGAUCGCUUGAGGCCAAGAGUUCAAGGCCAACCUGGGCAACAUGGUGAGACCCCCCCCUCCCCCCCAGUCUCUCCAAAACAAACAAACCCCACAUUCUCCAGUCUUAGGUCUUCAAGGAUGAACAGACAUUGCAGAAAGGCACGGUUGGGAACAGAAAAAAAUGAUCUCCACUCCCCCAGCCCCCUCCACACCUUGGGCACAUUUCCCUGGAGCCGCCCGAGUGUUCUUUGUCAGUGUAGGAAGAAGCAAAAAUCUAAAUGGAGUCAGGAUGGCCUCCCACAUGGGCACAAGGACAAGGCUGGGGACAGUUGGGUCUCCUCAUCUUAUUUCCCAGGUCUAGGCUGAUUUCUAUUAAUAAUUAAAUUAAUCGUUGUUCUCCUGGACCUCACUUCUUAAUGUGAUUCCAGGAAACUGGCCACAUUCCAAAAUUCAUAAUCUAAGGUAGUGAAAUAACGUGAGCAUCAAGACAGUUUGGCUGGGCUCAGAGGCUCACAUCUGUAAUCCCAGUACUUUGGGAGGCCGAGGGUAGAUCCCUUGAGCCCAGGAGUUCGAGACCAGCCUGGGCAACAUGGCGAAAUCCCAUCUCUACAAAAAAUACAAAAAUUAGCCAGAUGUGGUGGCAUGUGCCUGUAGUCCCAGUUACUUGGGAGACUGCGGUGGAAGGAUUGCCUGAGCCCAGGAAAGGGAGGUUGCGGUGAAUGGGGAUCCCACCACUGCACUCCAGCCUGGGUGACAGCGUAAGACUCUGUCUCAAAAACAAAAGAUUCAUUUCUUAUUGAUAAAGCAAGCUCCUUGGAGAAAGAUCUUGGAACCUCAUUGGGAGUGGAGGUGGGGCUUCUUCAAUCCAGCCGAGCUGGCUGUGAAACCCCCAGGGUUUGGUACCAAGUGAGCUCCAGUCCCAGCUGUGGCUGACUGUGUGAACUUGGCUAUGCAUUCAAGGGCCUCUGAGCCUCAGUUUCCUCAUCUGUAGAAGAGAGCCAGGAACCCGUCAUCCUGGCUAGCAGUGGAAGUCAAAGGUGCUCAUGGAAAGAAUGUCCUUGCUGGCUGGAACAAGGGAGGCCUGAGCUGUGGAAGUCCUUGGAUCAAGGUCCUCCCCACUUCCCGCUGCCUUUUUGGUCCUUCUUGCGUGCUCUUUGUGAUUUAAUGGCUUAGUAGGUUGAAUCAUGUCCCCCCAAAGUUUAUCUCUACCCCAAAUCUCAGAAUGUGACCUUAUUUGGAAAAAGAGUCUUUGCAGAUAAUUAAGGUAAGAGUCAAGAUAAAAUCACACUGAAUUAUGGUGAGCCCUACAUGCAAUGAGACAGUCCUUACAAGAUACAGAAAAGAACACAUAGAGACUUCGGGGGAAAGGAGACUAUGUGCAAGGAUGGCAGAGAUUGGAGCCGAGGGGUGCCUGGGCCUACCAGAGGCUGCAAGAGACAGGGAGGACCCUCCCCUAGAGCCUCCAGGGGGAACAGCCCUGCCCACACCUUGACUUUGGACUCCUGGCCUCCAGAACUGUGAGAGGGGCAGCCAGGGAAACCGAAACAAUGUCAUUUCCCCCCAGAAGUCGGCGUGGCUCAGCUCAGUCCAGUUCACAACAAAUAUGAAAUCCCUGCCCUACAGGACCAGGCCUCAGGAAGGGCUUGGGGGCCUCAGAGGCAAAUGAGACCAGGUCCAUCAACCAUACAGAACUGACAACCUGGACUCCCCACUCUGAAGUAGGCAGACUGCCUGAGGGAGGGGGCCUCCCUCAUGGGGAGAGGGCAGGCGCUGACCUCCCGGGCCCUCCAGCAUUCUCUGGGUCCUGGCCCCGAGAUUCUGGUUUUCCACACAGGGCACCUACUGUCUCACCCUUCCCUGACUCUGCCCGUGCACAAGGUGACCCCGGCUGCAAGCGUGCCAGGAGCUUUUCUCCACCUCUGCCUCAACAUCUGCCGCCUCUCCUCCUCUGGAGAGGGAGGCAGCUGAAGGACACCAGCCCCACGCCUUGCUGGAGCAGCUGAGAUCGCUGGGAGGAGGUUGGGAGAGGACUCAGGGGCUCAGGCUAGAUCAGGAGGGUGUGCCCUGCCUCCUUGUGAGGGGGCCCAGCACCACGGGGAGCCCACAGUGUAGGGUGCUGUUCAGCCAAAUUGGUUACCACUGGGUGUGAGGUCUGUGGUUGUGCAGGGUUGAAGGGCUGGGUGUCAUUUGCCUCUGAGGCCCCCGAGCCCUUCCUGAGGCCUGGUCCUAUAGGUCAAGGAUGGGCUAUUUGUUGUGAACUGGAUUGCGCUGAGAGCCACACUCAUGUUUAGGGGGAAAUGCCAUUGUACUGGUUUCCUGUGACUGCCCUACAAAUAACCACAAAGAGGCAAGGGGAGAAGUGGGGCUGUCCCUUCCAUAGGGCUGCAGUCAAGCACAAAUGACUCUAAUGGUAUUAAUUUUGAGAGAGAGAGAGAGAUUUGGAGUUCACCACAAAUUCUCCAAACAAACAAUUUUACAAGGAGGACAUGACCCGCCUGGCAUUACUGCUUAGGUCUGAAUGAGUGAUACUGACUGCAGCAGGUGACCAGGCCAAGCCCAGAAAUGGGCCACGGGGACCCCAAGCACAUGCUCUUCCCCCAGACUGCCGCCAUCUUGCUUUUCCUUCAGACCUAGGACCCUACGAGAGGAGGGAUCUGGAGGCCAGGACAGGAGCAGGACAACACAAACAGAGGCCUCAGAAGAAGACUCAGAGUGGGACAGGGGUUCCUUAAGUGACGGGGGCUGGAAGUGCACAGAGAAGCCUGGUGCAGCAGGGAAUUUUCUCUCCCUGGGGUGCUGCCAAGGUGUCUGUUGCUUGCCAGCUUUUCCAGCCAUGACUGCAGACAAAGUCCACCUAGAGUCAUAAAUGGGCAAUCAGCCCCGAACAACGUCCAGCCCCGGUUUCUGCACGGCGAGGCGUUUUUGUCCGUGGCAGACCUGCUUACCCGGGUGUCUUUGGUGUGGGGCUAGAUGCAGCAUUUCCCCAGUGGGAAUGGCCUGGGGUCUUAUUUAAAGUGGAGGGUCCUAGGCCUGGCCCCACGUAUGGAGUCAGGAUCCCUAGGGGUAGGACCUUGGAAUCCGCAUUUUUUUUGAGACAGGGUCUCACUCUGUCACCCAGGCAGUGGCACGAUCUCAGCUCUCUGAAACCUCCACCUCCUGGUUCAAGCGAUUCUCCUGCCUCGGCCUCCUGAGUAGCUGGUAUUACAGGCACGCACCACCAUGCCUGGCUAAUUUUCUAUGUUUUUAGUAGAGAUGGGGUUUCAUCAUGUUGGCCAGGCUGGUCUCCAACUCCUGACCUCAAGCCAUACACUGGCCUCGGCCUCCCUAAGUGCUGGGAUUACAGGUACGAGCCACCGUGCCUGGCCAGGAAUCUGCAUUUUUGCUAGUAACCCUGGUCAUCUCAGUGCACACCAAAGUUUGAAACCACUGUUGGGGUGUGGAGUUCUUGCUUCCAGACUUCCAGGGCCUAUGGAUUGAACAACAGCAGCCACAGUAGUAAUUAGAAUUUUCAGUCUGAACCACAAGCCUGCCAUGCAACAAGGGUUUCCUCCCGUUUUACAGAUGAGGGACCUGAGGCUUCAUAAGGCUGUUAUUGACCUGAGGUCGCACAGCUGAUGGCUCCUGGGUUCUUAGCGUUAAGUUUUGCAGCCUUAUUUCUGUUGUAUAUUUGUUUCUCAUCUUUCUGUGUUUAUUGCACUGCAAUUGUGAUAUCCUCUAAAAGCCAAGGAUGAACUCACUGCUGACCUUGGUUUUAUUCGUUUGUUUAUUUUCACCUUUUCUUGUGAAAUGUGCAAACAUACUCAAAAGUCAAGAGAAUCAUAUGGUGAUUUCUCAUAGUCCCCUUUGGCCAGCUUCAGCAAAGAUGACAUUUUGCCACUCUUAUUCCAUCCAUUUCUGUCACGCCACCCCUGACAUACACACAUGUUCUUUCUGGAGUAUUUUCAAGCAAAUACAGGAUUUUUAAAAACAUGUAAA
Molecule: long non-coding RNA, 4603 nt
Filed under: Homo sapiens (human)
Lineage: Eukaryota; Metazoa; Chordata; Mammalia; Primates; Hominidae
Description: HSALNT0217237
Source: RNAcentral